Molecule: long non-coding RNA, 1981 nt
Organism: Brassica rapa (field mustard)
Lineage: Eukaryota; Viridiplantae; Streptophyta; Magnoliopsida; Brassicales; Brassicaceae
Source: RefSeq, a predicted model, not a curated record
UGGGCUUUUUGAUUGUUAUCCGAAAGGACCCAUAUUUUUAAGGGUUUGUUCAAUUUUAACAGGUGGAGCUGGAGAGUCGACGUUUUGGUUCUUCACAUCUCAACGCCGACGGCGGUCGAACGUCACUGGAAAUAUUAAUCCAAGCAUUAACGUUUUCUGAGCCAUUCCUCCCACUCACUCAAAAUAAAUCAACCAUAGCAUCCUCUAAAGUAAUAGUCCUAUCAAAACAAAAAUCGCAAAGGAUCCCAAAGGUCUUCCUUUGUCGAGCAUCAAAUCCGUCAAUGGCAAAUUCAUUUGUUCUUCUUGACGAAUCAUAGCAUCCUCUAAAGUAAGAAAGGCGGUCCCACAUGCUUCUCCUUGACGAGCAGCCAACUAAUCUACGAGAAGUCGAUUUUGAUUCCAUCGCUUAAUACUUUCAAAAAUCUCCUUGAGGGAAGGAGGGAUGUACGAGCUUCAUGGUAUUGAUGUCACUGGAUGACAACACGAGCUUUGUCGAGGUCAUAGAACCAGUGACCAUCCCAGCAGAGAAGUUCCGUUUUAAAAAAUAACCAGCAGAUGCUCCUGACAUCAUGGGUGAAGUUAGUAGUAUCAAUACUGUUUUCGAUGAUAAAAACCAGUCCAUUCAGUGUGUGAUGAUAACAAUCGAAUUGGACAGACACAACUAUGCAGAGCGCACGGUGUGUGUUUAAUAAAGUUGUUACUGGCCUAGAUGAGAAGUUAACUCUCUUGGGUGUCGAAUCAGAAGCUAUGGUUGCCACAAACAUAAAUCCAAAACUAGCUGGAUAUAAUCUGCUUUAUUUAUAUUUGGUCUUCAAACUUGACAACACCACAACAGUUUACAUGCUUGCCCAAUCUCUAUUUCAGGUUGGUUAUUCUUUAAUGCAACCUUUGAAACCCAUUACUAUGUAGACCGUGAAGUCUUAGCCAGCCAAUUUUUUCUAAAAGAGUUAUGUGGAGCGAAGAGAGACUAUUUAUCAACUCCUUCCAAGUAUGGUGGGGUUAAGAAAAUUGAGACUGUUACAUUGGCUGAGCUGAAUACGUAUGUUCUCAAUUCACGACCAACAGCCGUUUUUCCCAUAGGCGACAGAAUUUCUAUGCAAGGAGGAAUUCACUGACAUUUAGACCUUAAAAGGAUUGUGUUACAUUUCAUGAUCCAAGUUCCACGUAAAUUGCUACGUGCGUUCACAACUUUCAGCUGCACAGGGUGCAACGAUGAGAAUGCAGUUGGUAUUAUAAGGUAAUAGACGACCUACAUGUAGUUAUCGUAUAUGCAAGAUGGCGGUAACAGACUUGACAGAAGCAGCUGUAUUAAUAGCAUUCUAUGGGUCAAUUACCAAGCUUACCAAUGUUCGUGCUACUGAGCUCGUGCAGCUAAUGGACGCAGGUCUUGAAGUUAAACAGCAGACCGACCUCCCACAAUGCCUGAAAGAUAUUGUUGGCUAGACCUUAACUUUCCAAAUGAAACUCUCUCGGUUCAAUUUCACCACCAAGCAUUAGUCAUUCAUGGUCUCCAGUAUUUGCGAAAGCCACCAGCUUCUACCAGUAGCUAAUUUUGCAAUCAAUGCUGGUGCUGAGUCUGCUGACCACCCAGGGGAUGACAAGCAUGUUGCUGUAAAGCUCUCAGUGGAGUAAUCCUGUUGUCAAAACCGAUGCUGCAGAAGAGAUAAUUAGGAGUGACAGUGCUCCUAAUAUCACCGGGGUUAAUGGAGGCUCGGAACCAGUUACUUCCCAAACUGAGUCAGUUGAUAGCUCGAGAGAGGAACCUAUAGGCGAUGAGUAGGAUCCGAGUUCUAAGAAGCCAUGCACUGACUAAGUUGUGAAAGUCUAGAUAUUAUAAGCCGUCAAAAUACUAUGAGUUUGAUGUUAUGUUACUGACGGGUUUAGCGUUUAAUAUUGUUGCCCUCCUUCAACAACUUCAACCAGUCAUGUUUUUCCAUGUUUUCAUUUUCACGAGUAUAUUAUGGCUUCGGUUCAACCCUUC